CACAAUUCACUCCCACUCUAGAGAAUGGCUUAUGAUGCUCAAACAUGCCCAAGCCCCUGAGGACAGUUCACCAAAGGCUUUCAGAGAGGCCAUGAUGUCUGAGGAAAACCAAGGCAGCCAGUUGUUAAAGGCGUACCUGGAGCUCAGCCUUCUAUUUUACUGCUUCUUCCAGUAAAUGCCACUCCGAAUGUAAGAUUGA
Molecule: long non-coding RNA, 199 nt
Organism: Neofelis nebulosa (Clouded leopard)
Lineage: Eukaryota; Metazoa; Chordata; Mammalia; Carnivora; Felidae
Exons: 2
Source: RefSeq, a predicted model, not a curated record